ACUACGGGCGGCAGCAGUGGGGGAUAUUGCACAAUGGGGGGAACCCUGAUGCAGCGACGCCGCGUGGGUGAAGGAGUGCUUCGGCAUGUAAAGCCCUAUCGGCAGGGAAGAAGCAAGACGGUACCUGACUAAGAAGCCCCGGCUAACUACGUGCCAGCAGCCGCGGUAAUAGGUAGGAGGCGAGCGUUAUCCGGAUUCACUGGGUGUAAAGGGAGCGUAGACGGCCAUGCAAGCCAGGGGUGAAAGCCCGGGGCCCAACCCCGGGACUGCCCUUGGAACUGCAUGGGUGGAGUGCGGGAGGGGUAGGCGGAAUUCCUGGUGUAGCGGUGAAAUGCGUAGAUAUCAGGAGGAACACCGGCGGCGAAGGCGGCCUGCUGGACUGCGACUGACGUUGAGGCUCGAAAGCGUGGGGAGCGAACAGGAUUAGAUACCCGGGUAGUC
This 441-nucleotide ribosomal RNA is filed under the name uncultured bacterium. RNAcentral describes it as "partial 16S ribosomal RNA". It matches the Rfam family "Bacterial small subunit ribosomal RNA", at positions 338 to 795 of the family's 1533-position model. The record is from RNAcentral.